AUUGAACGCUGGCGGCAGGCCUAACACAUGCAAGUCGAGCGGAUCGCCGGACGCGUGCGUAAUGCCUAGGUAUCUGCCUCUUCCUGGUGGAUAACGUCCGGUACCGGGCGCUAAUACCACUUCCUCUCACAUUCGGCUAGGUCGGAUUAGCUAGUUGGUGGGGUAAAGGCCUACCAAGGCGACGAUCCCUAGCUGGUCUGAGAGGAUGAUCAGUCACACUGGAACUGAGACACGGUCCAGACUCCUACGGGAGGCAGCAGUGGGGAAUAUUGGACAAUGGGCGAAAGCCUGAUCCAGCCAUGCCGCGUGUGUGAAGAAGGUCUUCGGAUUGUAAAGCACUUUAAGUUGGGAGGCGUUACCAGCAGAAUAAGCACCGGCUAACUCCGUGCCAGCAGCCGCGGUAAUAC
This 407-nucleotide ribosomal RNA is filed under the name uncultured bacterium. Its description in RNAcentral is "partial 16S ribosomal RNA". It matches the Rfam family "Bacterial small subunit ribosomal RNA", at positions 30 to 526 of the family's 1533-position model. The record is from RNAcentral.